This 489-nucleotide ribosomal RNA is filed under the name uncultured bacterium. RNAcentral describes it as "partial 16S ribosomal RNA". It matches the Rfam family "Bacterial small subunit ribosomal RNA", at positions 30 to 507 of the family's 1533-position model. The record is from RNAcentral.
UUGAACGCUGGCGGCAGGCCUAACCCAUGCAAGUCGAACGGUAACAGGAAACAGCUUGCUGUUUCGCUGACGAGUGGCGGACGGGUGAGUAAUGUCUGGGAAACUGCCUGAUGGAGGGGGAUAACUACUGGAAACGGUAGCUAAUACCGCAUAACGUCGCAAGACCAAAGAGGGGGACCUUCGGGCCUCUUGCCAUCGGAUGUGCCCAGAUGGGAUUAGCUAGUAGGUGGGGUAACGGCUCACCUAGGCGACGAUCCCUAGCUGGUCUGAGAGGAUGACCAGCCACACUGGAACUGAGACACGGUCCAGACUCCUACGGGAGGCAGCAGUGGGGAAUAUUGCACAAUGGGCGCAAGCCUGAUGCAGCCAUGCCGCGUGUAUGAAGAAGGCCUUCGGGUUGUAAAGUACUUUCAGCGGGGAGGAAGGGAGUAAAGUUAAUACCUUUACUCAUUGACGUUACCCGCAGAAGAAGCACCGGCUAACUCCGUG